UGGGGAAUUUUGGACAAUGGGCGAAAGCCUGAUCCAGCCAUGCCGCGUGCAGGAUGAAGGCCUUCGGGUUGUAAACUGCUUUUGUACGGAACGAAAAGACUCCUUCUAAUAAAGGGGGUCCAUGACGGUACCGUAAGAAUAAGCACCGGCUAACUACGUGCCAGCAGCCGCGGUAAUACGUAGGGUACAAGCGUUAAUCGGAAUUACUGGGCGUAAAGCGUGCGCAGGCGGUUAUAUAAGACAGAUGUGAAAUCCCCGGGCUCAACCUGGGAACUGCAUUUGUGACUGUAUAGCUAGAGUACGGUAGAGGGGGAUGGAAUUCCGCGUGUAGCAGUGAAAUGCGUAGAUAUGCGGAGGAACACCGAUGGCGAAGGCAAUCCCCUGGACCUGUACUGACGCUCAUGCACGAAAGCGUGGGGAGCAAACAGGAUUAGAUACCCACGUAGUCCCUGAGCGGGCUGGCAAGGCGCAU
This 472-nucleotide ribosomal RNA is filed under the name uncultured bacterium. RNAcentral describes it as "bacterial SSU rRNA". It matches the Rfam family "Bacterial small subunit ribosomal RNA", at positions 355 to 825 of the family's 1533-position model. The record is from RNAcentral.